CCUACGGGUGGCAGCAGUGGGGAAUCUUCGGCAAUGGGCGAAAGCCUGACCCAGCAACGCCGCGUGAAGGAAGAAGGUCUUCGGGUUGUAAACUUCUUUUAUCAAGGACGAAACAAAUGACGGUACAUGAUGAAUAAGCCACGGCUAACUACGCGCCAGCAGCCGCGGUAAUACGUAGGUGGCACGCGUUAUCCGGAUUUACUGGGUGUAAAGUGCGGGUAGGCGGGGCUGCAAGUCAGAUGUGAAAGCCAUGGGCUCAACCCAUGACCUGCAUUUGAAACUGGCGUGCUGGAGUUGGAGAGAGGUAUGCGGAAUUCGUGGUGUAGCGGUGAAAUGCGUAGAUAUCACGAAGAACCCCGAUUGCGAAGGCAGCAUACCGGCUCCACACUGACGCUGAGGCACGAAAGCGUGGGUAUCGAACAGGAUUAGAUACCCCAGUAGUC
This 443-nucleotide ribosomal RNA is filed under the name uncultured bacterium. RNAcentral describes it as "partial 16S ribosomal RNA". It matches the Rfam family "Bacterial small subunit ribosomal RNA", at positions 338 to 795 of the family's 1533-position model. The record is from RNAcentral.